GACGAACGCGGCGGCGUGCCUAAUACAUGCAAGUGGGACGCAAGGGAACACACUGUGCUUGCACACCGUGUUUUCUUGAGUCGCGAACGGGUGAGUAACGCGUAGGUAACCUGCCUAUUAGCGGGGGAUAACUAUUGGAAACGAUAGCUAAUACCGCAUAAUAUUAAUUAUUGCAUGAUAAUUGAUUGAAAGAUGCAAGCGCAUCACUAGUAGAUGGACCUGCGUUGUAUUAGCUAGUUGGUAAGGUAAGAGCUUACCAAGGCGACGAUACAUAGCCGACCUGAGAGGGUGAUCGGCCACACUGGGACUGAGACACGGCCCAGACUCCUACGGGAGGCAGCAGUAGGGAAUCUUCGGCAAUGGACGAAAGUCUGACCGAGCAACGCCGCGUGAGUGAAGAAGGUUUUCGGAUCGUAAAGCUCUGUUGUAAGUCAAGAACGUGUGUGAGAGUGGAAAGUUCACACAGUGACGGAGCUACCAGAAAG
RNAcentral lists this ribosomal RNA (485 nucleotides) under Streptococcus mutans. RNAcentral describes it as "bacterial SSU rRNA". It matches the Rfam family "Bacterial small subunit ribosomal RNA", at positions 28 to 490 of the family's 1533-position model. The record is from RNAcentral. Lineage: Bacteria; Bacillati; Bacillota; Bacilli; Lactobacillales; Streptococcaceae.